Dermochelys coriacea (leatherback sea turtle) is the source of this 171-nucleotide long non-coding RNA. RefSeq lists it as uncharacterized. NCBI's taxonomy places the organism in Eukaryota, Metazoa, Chordata, Testudines, Dermochelyidae. The record is from RefSeq and is a predicted model, not a curated record. The transcript has 3 exons.
GCUGGGUGUGGUGCCUCUCCUUGCUCCCUCUGUUGUGGGGAGGAGCUGUGUCCCACCUCCCCCUCUCUAUACCUGUUCAUAAGCUGACCCCCUUCUGUGAUGCUUCCCUUUUUUACUAAAAAAAUUAGGCUUAUGAAUGAGUAUAUAUUGUAAUAGUCAUUCACACUUUAA